RNAcentral lists this ribosomal RNA (479 nucleotides) under uncultured Alphaproteobacteria bacterium. RNAcentral describes it as "bacterial SSU rRNA". It matches the Rfam family "Bacterial small subunit ribosomal RNA", at positions 9 to 524 of the family's 1533-position model. The record is from RNAcentral. Lineage: Bacteria; Pseudomonadati; Pseudomonadota; Alphaproteobacteria.
GAGUUUGAUCGUGGCUCAGAACGAACGCUGGCGGCAUGCCUAACACAUGCAAGUCGAACGGGAUCCGGACUUCGGUCCGGUGAGAGUGGCGGACGGGUGAGUAACGCGUGGGAACCUGCCCAAUGGUCUGGGAUAACCGCGGGAAACUGCGGCUAAUACCGGAUAAGCCCGAGAGGGGAAAGAUUUAUCGCCGAUGGAGGGGCCCGCGUCCGAUUAGGUAGUUGGUGAGGUAACGGCUCACCAAGCCGACGAUCGGUAGCUGGUCUGAGAGGAUGAUCAGCCACACUGGGACUGAGAUACGGCCCAGACUCCUACGGGAGGCAGCAGUGGGGAAUAUUGGACAAUGGGGGCAACCCUGAUCCAGCAAUGCCGCGUGAGUGAUGAAGGCCUUAGGGUUGUAAAGCUCUUUUGGCGGGGACGAUGAUGACGGUACCCGCAGAAUAAGCCCCGGCUAACUUCGUGCCAGCAGCCGCGGUAAC